UGGGGAAUCUUGCGCAAUGGUCGAAAGACUGACGCAGCGACGCCGCGUGCGGGAGGAAGCCCUUCGGGGUGUAAACCGCUGUUACUCGGGACGAACUUCCCGAUUCAUCGGGAUUGACGGUACCGGGGGAGGAAGCACCGGCUAACUCUGUGCCAGCAGCCGCGGUAAUACAGAGGGUGCGAGCGUUGUCCGGAAUCACUGGGCGUAAAGGGCGCGUAGGCGGCUUCUCACGCGUGCGGUGAAAGCUCGGGGCUUAACUCCGAGUCUGCCGUGCGAACGGGGAGGCUUGAGUCUGGUAGAGGUCGAUGGAAUUCCGGGUGUAGCGGUGGAAUGCGUAGAGAUCCGGAAGAACACCGGUGGCGAAGGCGGUCGACUGGGCCAGUACUGACGCUGAGGCGCGACAGCGUGGGGAGCAAACAGG
RNAcentral lists this ribosomal RNA (421 nucleotides) under uncultured bacterium. RNAcentral describes it as "bacterial SSU rRNA". It matches the Rfam family "Bacterial small subunit ribosomal RNA", at positions 355 to 776 of the family's 1533-position model. The record is from RNAcentral.